CAGUAGCCACGGUAAUACGUAGGUGGCAAGCGUUGUCCGGAAUUAUUGGGCGUAAAGGGCUCGCAGGCGGUUUCUUAAGUCUGAUGUGAAAGCCCCCGGCUCAACCGGGGAGGGUCAUUGGAAACUGGGAAACUUGAGUGCAGAAGAGGAGAGUGGAAUUCCACGUGUAGCGGUGAAAUGCGUAGAGAUGUGGAGGAACGCCAGUGGCGAAGGCGACUCUCUGGUCUGUAACUGACGCUGAGGAGCGAGAGCGUGGGGAGCGAACAGGAUUAGAUACCCCUGUAGUCCCUGUCUCUUAUAC
Molecule: ribosomal RNA, 301 nt
Filed under: uncultured bacterium
Lineage: Bacteria
Description: partial 16S ribosomal RNA
Rfam family: Bacterial small subunit ribosomal RNA
Source: RNAcentral